Molecule: ribosomal RNA, 406 nt
Filed under: uncultured bacterium
Lineage: Bacteria
Description: partial 16S ribosomal RNA
Rfam family: Bacterial small subunit ribosomal RNA
Source: RNAcentral
AUUGAACGCUGGCGGCAGGCCUAACACAUGCAAGUCGAACGAGUGGCGGACGGGUGAGUAAUGUCUGGGAAACUGCCUGAUGGAGGGGGCUAACUACUGGAAACGGUAGCUAAUACCGCAUACCAUCGGUUGGGCCCAGAGGGGAUUAGCUAGUAGGUGGGGUAACGGCUAACCUAGGCGACGAGACCUAGCUGGUCUGAGAGGCUGACCGGCCACACUGGAACUGAGACACGGUCCAGACUCCUACGGGAGGCAGCAGUGGGGAAUAUUGGACAAUGGGCGAAAGCCUGAUGCAGCCAUGCCGCGUGUAUGAAGAAGGCCUUCGGGUUGUAAAAUACUUUCAUCGGAGAGGCGGUACCCGCAGAAGAAGCAACGGCUAACUCCGUGCCAGCAGCCGCGGUAAUUC